AGGUCGCGGCUGGAUUGAAAUACGCGGCUGACUCUUAAUCAGCGGGUCCAAGGUUCGAGUCCUUGACGGCCCACCA
Molecule: transfer RNA, 76 nt
Filed under: Acidobacteriota bacterium
Lineage: Bacteria; Pseudomonadati; Acidobacteriota
Description: Acidobacteria bacterium tRNA-Lys
Rfam family: tRNA
About the family: Transfer RNA (tRNA) molecules are approximately 80 nucleotides in length. Their secondary structure includes four short double-helical elements and three loops (D, anti-codon, and T loops).
Source: RNAcentral